RNAcentral lists this ribosomal RNA (1067 nucleotides) under Ascaris suum (pig roundworm). RNAcentral describes it as "partial large subunit ribosomal RNA". It matches the Rfam family "Eukaryotic large subunit ribosomal RNA", at positions 69 to 944 of the family's 3401-position model. Lineage: Eukaryota; Metazoa; Nematoda; Chromadorea; Rhabditida; Ascarididae. The record is from RNAcentral.
CGAGGAUUCCCUUAGUAACUGCGAGUGAAAGGGGAAAAGCCCAGCGCUGAAUCCUUCAGCCACUGGCUGCUAGGAAUUGUAGCGUAUAGGUGCGACUGUCCGUUCGUUUCGUGCACCCAAAGUCCCCUUGAGCGGGGCUAUAGUCCAAAGAAGGUGCUAGACCUGUACGGGUGGCGAAGCGAACGGUUGGUUGCUCCUUGGAGUCGGGUUGCCUGGGAUCGCAGCCCAAAGUUGGUGGUAGACCUCAUCUAAGGCUAAAUAUGGCCACGAAACCGAUAGCAAACAAGUACCGUGAGGGAAAGUUGCAAAGAACUUUGAAGAGAGAGUUCAAGAGGGCGUGAAACCGUUGAGAUUGAAACGGAUAGAGUUAACGAAACUCGGCUGCAUUCAUCCGAUCGGCCUAAUGGAUCAAUAGCGUUCGCAUCCUCGAUGAGGGCAACGUUAUCGUUAACUAUUGGGUAAUUGAUCGGUGUAUUUGCGGCUGGUAUGCGCUGAGAGUUUUGUGAUCGCAUGUUAACGGGUGUGCAGUGGACCAUUCCUUCCGGGUGUGGAAACCUUCACAUCUUUAGGCAUGUCGAUUAUAAAGUUUUGAACGUGGCGUCUCCGCUAUUGUGCGUCGACUUAUGCGUACUAUUGUGAUUAUUGAAUAUUCGCAUGCGAAUAUUUGUAGUUAACGAUAUUGCGACAAAAGUGCGGACGCGUUGAGACGUGUAUCUCGGUGUGAACGUUGACCACCUAUCCGACCCGUCUUGAAACACGGACCAAGGAGUCUAGCAUAUGCGCGAGUCAUUGGGUGGUAAACCUAAGGGCGUAAUGAAAGUAAAAGUCACCUCGAUGUGGCCGAUAUGGGAUCCGGAUAACUUACGAGCCAUUCGGCGCACCAUAGCCCCGUCCCCAUUGCUUGCAAUAGGGCGGAGGUAGAGCGCAUAUGCUGGGACCCGAAAGAUGGUGAACUAUGCCUGAGCAGGAUGAAGCCAGAGGAAACUCUGGUGGAAGUCCGAAGCGGUUCUGACGUGCAAAUCGAUCGUCUGACUUGGGUAUAGGGGCGAAAGACUAAUCGAACCAUC